AUGAUGAAGAAGAAUUCAGUGGUUGCUAUGAUGGUUUUGUUUCUUAUAGUAUUUUCUGAAAUGGAUAGCGUUGUUCCAGAUGCUUCCGAUUGCUUAGAUGGUUGCUCCACUGCAUGCGUUUCAAGAGACUCGAGGCUUACGGCAAGGUGUGAGCGAAAGUGCCAGAUUAGAUGCGGUCCAGAUUCUAUGCUGGACAAAGUCAUGGAUUAA
Molecule: long non-coding RNA, 210 nt
Filed under: Vicia faba (fava bean)
Lineage: Eukaryota; Viridiplantae; Streptophyta; Magnoliopsida; Fabales; Fabaceae
Source: RNAcentral